GCUGGGCAUGGUGGUGCAUGCCUGUAAUCCCAGCUACUCGAGAGGCUGAGGCAGGGGAAUCACUUGAGCCCAGGAUGUGGAGGUUGCACUGAGCCAAGACUGCGCCACUACACUCCAGCCUGGGCAACAGAGUGAGACUCUGUCUCAA
RNAcentral lists this non-coding RNA (148 nucleotides) under Gorilla gorilla gorilla (western lowland gorilla). The record is from Rfam by way of RNAcentral. Lineage: Eukaryota; Metazoa; Chordata; Mammalia; Primates; Hominidae.